UAGGGAAUCUUCGGCAAUGGACGAAAGUCUGACCGAGCAACGCCGCGUGAGUGAAGAAGGUUUUCGGAUCGUAAAACUCUGUUGUUAGAGAAGAACAAGGACGUUAGUAACUGAACGUCCCCUGACGGUAUCUAACCAGAAAGCCACGGCUAACUACGUGCCAGCAGCCGCGGUAAUACGUAGGUGGCAAGCGUUGUCCGGAUUUAUUGGGCGUAAAGCGAGCGCAGGCGGUUUCUUAAGUCUGAUGUGAAAGCCCCCGGCUCAACCGGGGAGGGUCAUUGGAAACUGGGAGACUGAGUGCAGAAGAGGAGAGUGGAAUUCCAUGUGUAGCGGUGAAAUGCGUAGAUAUAUGGAGGAACACCAGUGGCGAAGGCGGCUCUCUGGUCUGUAACUGACGCUGAGGCUCGAUAGCGUGGGGAGCAAACAGG
This 428-nucleotide ribosomal RNA is filed under the name Gemmatimonadota bacterium. RNAcentral's name for it is "Gemmatimonadetes bacterium partial 16S ribosomal RNA". It matches the Rfam family "Bacterial small subunit ribosomal RNA", at positions 355 to 776 of the family's 1533-position model. Lineage: Bacteria; Pseudomonadati; Gemmatimonadota. The record is from RNAcentral.